This 549-nucleotide ribosomal RNA is filed under the name Funneliformis mosseae. RNAcentral's name for it is "SSU rRNA". It matches the Rfam family "Eukaryotic small subunit ribosomal RNA", at positions 548 to 1098 of the family's 1831-position model. The record is from RNAcentral. Lineage: Eukaryota; Fungi; Glomeromycota; Glomeromycetes; Glomerales; Glomeraceae.
UUGGAGGGCAAGUCUGGUGCCAGCAGCCGCGGUAAUUCCAGCUCCAAUAGCGUAUAUUAAAGUUGUUGCAGUUAGAAAGCUCGUAGUUGAAUUUCGGGGUCAGUAGAUCGGUCAUGCCACUGGUAUGUACUGGUCUCACUGAUUCCUCCUUCCUGAUGAGCCGUAAUGCCAUUAAUUUGGUGUUGCGAGGAAUCUGGACUGUUACUUUGAAAAAAUUAGAGUGUUUAAAGCAGGCUAACGCUUGAAUACAUUAGCAUGGAAUAAUGAAAUAGGACGUUCGAUCUUAUUUUGUUGGUUUCUGAGAUUGACGUAAUGAUUAAUAGGGAUAGUUGGGGGCAUUAGUAUUCAAUUGUCAGAGGUGAAAUUCUUGGAUUUAUUGAAGACUAACUACUGCGAAAGCAUUUGCCAAGGAUGUUUUCAUUAAUCAAGAACGAAAGUUAGGGGAUCGAAGACGAUCAGAUACCGUCGUAGUCUUAACCAUAAACUAUGCCGACUAGGGAUCGGAUGAUGUUAAUUUUUUAAUGACUCAUUCGGCGCCUUACGGGAAAC